GGCCUCCCAGUACUCACCACAGGUUGUAUUCUUACACCAGCUGUACAGAAAGAACAGGCAGAGUAAACCCACCCCAUAUGCACCUCAGCCCCGCCCUUUGUCCAGUCUGUAAUGUGAAUGUGGGGACAUGG
Molecule: small nucleolar RNA, 131 nt
Organism: Pteronotus mesoamericanus
Lineage: Eukaryota; Metazoa; Chordata; Mammalia; Chiroptera; Mormoopidae
Product: small nucleolar RNA SNORA51
Exons: 1
Source: RefSeq, a predicted model, not a curated record